CACAUGCAAGUCGAACGGCAGCACGGGAGCAAUCCUGGUGGCGAGUGGCGAACGGGUGAGUAAUAUAUCGGAACGUGCCCAGUCGUGGGGGAUAACGCAGCGAAAGCUGUGCUAACACCGCAUACGAUCUAUGGAUGAAAGCGGGGGAUCGCAAGACCUCGCGCGAUUGGAGCGGCCGAUAUCAGAUUAGCUAGUUGGUGGGGUAAAAGCCCACCAAGGCGACGAUCUGUAGCUGGUCUGAGAGGACGACCAGCCACACUGGAACUGAGACACGGUCCAGACUCCUACGGGAGGCAGCAGUGGGGAAUUUUGGACAAUGGGCGAAAGCCUGAUCCAGCAAUGCCGCGUGCAGGACGAAGGCCUUCCGGGUUGUAAACUGCUUUUGUACGGAGCGAAACGGCCUCUUCUAAUACAAGAGGGCUAAUGACGGUACCCGAAGAAUAAAGCACCNGCUAACUACG
RNAcentral lists this ribosomal RNA (461 nucleotides) under uncultured eubacterium WJGRT-120. RNAcentral describes it as "bacterial SSU rRNA". It matches the Rfam family "Bacterial small subunit ribosomal RNA", at positions 52 to 505 of the family's 1533-position model. The record is from RNAcentral.